CAAGACGAGAGUCGGAUUGAGGAUAAACAUCCCUUAAAGGGAAAAUGUCAAAUAUAGGAUCAAAAACCUUUCCUCAAGCAAGGUCAGCUCUAGAAGUAGAAAAGGAGGGGCUAAAGUUAUAGGAAUGAAAGAGUCGAAGAUCAAUCCUCAGGCUGUGUAUGGGGAACCUUUUUUUAGUGCUGUAGAUAGAGUUGGACUCUGGCGCUUGGAGGCAAGGUGUGAAGGAAGGUUGGGUGGGGGCAUAGGACUAAGCCAAACAACCAACCUAUCAACACAAUAGAUGUGUCAAUGGUGUGGAUUAGGUUAGAUGAUUCUAGAUGUCCUAAGCACUAGGUAAACUUUGUGGGAA
This 349-nucleotide long non-coding RNA is filed under the name Spirodela polyrhiza (greater duckweed). RNAcentral describes it as "long non-coding RNA (SPOL_LNC002690)". Lineage: Eukaryota; Viridiplantae; Streptophyta; Magnoliopsida; Alismatales; Araceae. The record is from RNAcentral.